RNAcentral lists this long non-coding RNA (4545 nucleotides) under Mytilus galloprovincialis (Mediterranean mussel). The record is from RNAcentral. Lineage: Eukaryota; Metazoa; Mollusca; Bivalvia; Mytilida; Mytilidae.
UUUGACCACUGAACCAUGAAAAUGAGGUCAAGGUCACAUGACAUCUGCCCGCUAGAUAGGUACACCUUACAAUCAUUCCAUACAACAAAUAUAGUAGACCUAUUGCAUAUAGUAUGAGAAAAAGAGACCAAAAACACAAAAAUUUAACUAUAACCACUGAACCAUGAAAAUGAGGUCAAGGUCAGAUGACACCUGCCAGUUGGACAUGUACACCUUACAGUCCUUCCAUACACCGAAUAUACUAGCCCUAUUGCUUGUAGUAUCUGAGAUAUGGACUUGACCACCAAAACUUAACCUUGUUCACUGAUCCAUGAAAUGAGGUCGAGGUCAAGUGAAAAACUGUCUGACAGACGUGAGGACCUUUCAAGGUACGCACAUCACAAAUAUAGUUAUCCUAUUACUUAUAAUAAAAGAGAAUUCAACAUUACAAAAAUUCUGAACUUUUUUUCAAGUGGUCACUGAACCAUGAAAAUGGGGUCAAGGACAUUGGACAUGUGACUGACGGAAACUUCGUAACAUGAGGCAUCUAUAUACAAAGUAUGAAGCAUCCAGGUCUUCCACCUUCUAAAAUAUAAAGCUUUUAAGAAGUUAGCUAACACCGCCGCCGUAGCCGCCGGAUCACUAUCCCUAUGUCGAGCUUUCUGCAACAAAAGUUGCAGGCUCGACAAAAACGGCAAAAUUUCCUUAAAAUUACCAAUUCUGGGGCAGCAACCCAACAACGGGUUGUCCGAUUCAUCUGAAAAUUUCAGGGCAGAUAGAAAUUGACCUGAUAAACAAUUUUACCCAUGUCAGAUUUGCUCUAAAUGCUUUGGUUUCAGAGAUAUAAGCCAAAUCAAAAUUUUACCCCUUUGUUUUAUUUUUAGCCAUGGCGGCCAUCUUGAUUGGUUGGUCGGGUCACCGGACACAUAUAAUUAUUAGCUCACCUGGCCCGAAGGGCCAAGUGAGCUUUUCUCAUCACUUGGCGUCCGGCGUCCGGCGUCCGUCGUCGUUAACUUUUACAAAAAUCUUCUCCUCUGAAACUACUGGGCCAAAUUAAACCAAACUUGGCCACAAUCAUCAUUGGGGUAUCUAGUUUAAAAAAUGUGUGGCGUGACGGGCCAACCAACCAAGAUGGCCGCCAUGGCUAAAAAUAGAACAUAGGGGUAAAAUGCAGUUUUUGGCUUAUAACUCAAAAACCAAAGCAUUUAGAGCAAAUCUGACAGGGUAAAAUUGUUUAUCAGGUCAAGAUCUAUCUGCCCUGCAAUUUUCAGAUAAAUCGGACAACCCGUUGUUGGGUUGCUGCCCCUGAAUUGGUAAUUUUAAGGAAAUUUUGCUGUUUUUGGUUAUUAUCUUGAAUAUUAUUAUAGAUAAAGAUAAACUGUAAACAGCAAUAAUGUUCAGCAAAGUAAGAUUUACAAAUAAGUCAACAUGACAGAAAUGGUCAGUUGACCCCUUUAGGAGUUAUUGCCCUUUAUAGUCAAUUUUUAACCAUUUUUCGUAAAUCUUAGUAAUCUUUUACAAAAAUCUUCUCCUCUGAAACUACUGGGCCAAAUUAAACCAAACUUGGCCACAAUCACAAUUGGGGGUAUCUAGUUUAAAAAAUGUGUGGCGUGACCCGGCAAACCAACCAAGAUGGCCACCACAGCUAAAAAUAGAACAUAGGGGUAAAAUUCAGUUUUUGGCUUUUAACUCAAAAACCAAAUUUAGAGCAAAUCUGACAUGAAGUAAAAUUGAUUAUCAGGUCAAGAUCUAUCUGCCCUGAAAUUUUCAGAUGAAUCGGACAACCUGUUGUUGGGUUGCUGCCCCUGAAUUGGUUAUUUUAAGGAAAUUUUGCUGUUUUUGGUUAUUAUCUUGAAUAUUAUUAUAGAUAGAGAUAAACUGUAAACAGCAAUAAUGUUCAGCAAAGUAAGAUUUACAAAUAAGUCAACAUGACUGAAAUGGUCAGUUGACCCCUUUAGGAGUUAUUGCCCUUUAUUAUCAAUUUUGAACCAUUUUUCGCAAAUCUUAGUUAUCUUUUACAAAAAUCUUCUCUUCUGAAACUACUGGGCCAAGUUCAUUAUAGAUAGAGAUAAUUGUAAGCAGCAAGAAUGUUCAGUAAAGUAAGAUUUACAAACACAUCACCAUCACCAAAACACAAUUUUGUCAUGAAUCCAUCUGCGUCCUUUGUUUAAUAUUCACAUAGACCAAGGUGAGCGACACAGGCUCUUUAGAGCCUCUAGUCCUAUUACUCAUUUUAAAUUCACAUGACAAAAGAACUUUCAUUUUUUUUCAAGCAGUUGAUGAACAAUGAAAAUGAGGUCAAAUGCAAUGGACAUAUGGCAGAUGAAAUCUUAGUCUUAUAACGAAUCUCAAAAUAAGGUAUGAAGCAUCUAGGACUUCUACCUUAUGCAAUAAAAAGCUUUAUACAAGUACCGGUAGUAUAAACCGCCACAAGAUAGUUAUCCCUAUUUCUAGCCUUCUAUGACUUAUGUCACAGGAAAGUCACAAAUCAUAUUGAGAGUUUCUCACAACAAUUUCCAAUACAUAUGACAAGACCACUAACUGUAUCGGAAAAUAAAUAUAAAGAUGUUUCUAUUUUAACGAUUUAUUGAAUAUAAUAAUCCCUGAGCAUACAAAGUAUAUCACAGUUUUUCAAUAUAGAUGUGGAAUUAGUAUAAUAAAAGGUUGCACAUAUCAUAUUCAAUAAAGAGAGAUGCUGAACAUAUCUUCUCUAAAAUAACAAACUAUAGGUACAUGACCAUUUAAAAUAUGUCUUUUAUAUUGGAGAAUGUGAAAAAUCUUUAACCAUUUCCCUUUAAGAAACUUUUAGUUACUUUCAUCAAAAACAGUUUUUGAAAGAGGAUUCCAAACCUGGUAAAAUAUUUUUUUUUAUUUAUUGCACAAAAAUAUGCACGAUAUCCUUACCCUUCCAGUCCACCUGAUUUCAUCUUCUGAUGUUGGUGGGUUAUCUGAAGACUAUUUUUUUCAUUUUUCAGUGCAAUAUUUGGUGAACUACUGUUGAUCUUUCUGGUAUCUUUUAACCAUGAUGUUUUCUGGUAGUCCUCUUAGUUCUUACUUUUCAUACAAGGUAUCCUUUAGAAAUUAUUUUUUAUUUCUUAUCAAUUGUUUUUUAAUUUCAGACCAUACAAGUUUCUGAAGUUCUAAAUUGCAUAUGAAGUCAAUUAUCCUUCAAUAAAAUCUUUAUAUAUAUAGUUUUUAUUUACAUCACAAUGCCAUUAUCCUUAUUUGAUAUAUGAGCUGGGUUGGAAAGAAAUGCAAAUAAAUAUCAGUUAACCUAUUUCAGGUUGAAAAUAUUUAUACAGAAUGUCUGUAAUUAUUUGAAAAUAAUUUGUUAUCAAAACUUUACAAAACAGCCCAACAUGCAUUUUUCAUGUUUGAAUGUUCCAAUAUUAAAUCACACUAUAUAUGAUACAUGUACACAGGGACUUUCUAUACUAAUAUAGAAAGUCCCUGAUGUACAUGUAUACCUGCACUUGUAUAAGGUUGACUUCUAUUAGUCUCAGCUUAUAUGAAAAACCUCAGACAUUGUAGAUACAACAUUAACAGUAACAAUUUUACUACCCAUUGUCUUUGCCAUUAUGUCUGAAAUGUGCCUUCUUUAUGAUAGGGCAGUCAAUCAGUAUAUUAUCAAAUUCAUUUUCAAGAUUGAUUGUUGACAACUUUAUACCAUUGUAAAUUGAAACGUAACAUUAUACUUAAAAAAAACACCAUUUAAAAUAUUAAGUAUCUGAAUUAAAAAUAUAAUUAUACAAGAGUGCACACACUGAAAUGUCUCGCCUUCUUUACUAAUCAUUGAUAUUAUGUUGAUAGUCCUAAGUAUAAAGCUUUAUUACAACUGUCACAUAAACUUAACAUUAACCAAGAUAGUUAAACAAAGACCAAUGAACCAUGAAAAUGAGGUCAAAGUCAGAUGAACCAAGCCAGGCAGGCAUGUACAGCUAGCAAAGCUUCCAUACAACAAAUAUAGUUGACCUAUUACUUAUAGUUUAAGAAAAAUAGACCAAAACACAAAAACGUAACACUGUGCAAUGAACCGUGCAAUUGAGGUCAUGGUCAAAUAAACCUGCGGGACUGACAUAUAGAUCAUAAUAUAUUUUCAUACACCAAAUAUAGUUGAUUUUUGGCAUAUUAUAUUAGAUAAAAAGACCAAAACUUAACUUUGACCACUGAACCAUGAAAAUGAGGUCAAGGUCAGAUGACAUCUGCCCGCUAGACAUGUACACCUUACAAUCAUUCCAUACAACAAAUAUAGUAGACCUAUUGCAUAAAGUAUGAGAAAAACAGACCAAAACACAAAAACUUAACUAUAACCACUGAACCAUGAAAAUGAGGUCAAGGUCAGAUGACACCUGCCAGUUGGACAUGUACACCUUUAAGUCCUUCCAUACACCAAAUAUACUAGCCCUAUUGCUUAUAGUAUCUGAGAUAUGGACUUGACCACCAAAACUUAACCUUGUUCACUGAUCCAUGAAAUGAGGUCGAGGUCAAGUGAAAUCUGUCUGACGGCAUGAGGACCUUGCAAGGUACGCACAUACCAAAUAUAGUUAUCCUAUUACUUAUAAUAAG